GCGCACGGCGCGCCGGGAAUUUGAGGACGCUCUGGCAGCUGGUCGGGCGGCUGAGUUCGCUUGGGGUGAGGUGUCUGUUUUGCCGUUUUACUUUUAACAAAUGCUGGGUUUUUAAUGUACGCCACUCCUGGUUUUUCAUUUUUCUCCACAUAGGUGUAUUUAUUCUCUUCCCACUCCAUGGCCUGCUGCCGCGCAGCGUUCUGAUCGAAUCCCUUAAUUGUCCGCAACUUUCCUUAGGGAUUCGCUUUCCAUUUCCUGUGUGUGUUCGACUAAACUGAUAGACUCCAAAAUUUGUCAUUGAGUCUCUGGGGGACUAAGCAGGAUUCUGCCUUUGCACAUUAUGUUCCCGUGGGCGAGGACUUCUUAAUGCUCACUUGAAUGCUUGGUGCCAACCUCUGCCCCUAGUUAGCGCUUCUCGUGGAUCCCUGUCUGCCUGCCCUUCUGCGUUUGAAACUCCGUGAGAGCAGCUAGUAUGAAGAUUAGCCCUGAGCUAACAUCUGCUGCCAAUUCUCUUUUUUGCUGAUGAAGACUGAGCUAACAUCUGUGCCCAUCUUCUUCUACUUUAAAUGUGGGGUGCCUGCCACAGCAUGGUUUGACAAGCAGUGCAUAUGUCUGCACCCAGGAUCCGAACUGGUGAACCCCAGGCCACCAAAGUGGAACGUGCCGACUUAACUGCUGCACCACCAGGCUGGCCCAGGAUUAUACCUUUUAAAGAAAGAAUUAUAACAACAGAAGAGGAGUAGAGAACAAAGAAAACUUUGGCAAUUAUUUUCAGGGAGCACUUACAUGGGACACAGUAACUAUGAAUCUCAGUACACAAAUUCAGGCAUGAAAAAAGGAUGAUCAUAGUGAGGAAUGUGAGAAAGAAUACAGAACUGGGAACGGAGAUAUUUGGGAACAGAUAUUGCUGGGAAUUCAGCCACUCUGAUGUGAGGCAGCCCAAGCAGCCCAUGGAGAGAUCUGUGUGGAGAAAAACCAAGGUCCCUGACAACAGUCUCAGCAGAGUCCCCAGCCAGGAACCAGCAGUAACUGCCAGCCUUGUGAGUGAGACCAUUUAGACCUCUAGUCAUCCCAGCACCCCCACUGACACCAUGACCCCUGACAAAGAAGAGAAACUACUUUGCCAGUCACUGCCUGAAUUCCUGACUCACAGAAUCAUGAGCAAAUAAACAAUUUUUGUUUUAAGCAA
This 1189-nucleotide long non-coding RNA is filed under the name Equus asinus (donkey). RNAcentral describes it as "lncRNA (ENSEASG00005033016.1)". The record is from RNAcentral. Lineage: Eukaryota; Metazoa; Chordata; Mammalia; Perissodactyla; Equidae.